CCACCACUAAGCCAGUGGUGAACUCCACAUCCGCAUCCUUUGCUGAGGAUACGGUUAACGGAGCGAAAGCGACGUUCAACCGCAAAACAAGCAGAGGGGGCUUAGUGGUGGGGUGACUGCGUACCUUUUGUAUAAUGGGUCAGCGACUUAUAUUCUGUAGCAAGGUUAACCGAAUAGGGGAGCCGGAGGGAAACCGAGUCUUAAUUGGGCGUUAAGUUGCAGGGUAUAGACCCGAAACCCGGUGAUCUAGCCAUGGGCAGGUUGAAGGUUGGGUAACACUAACUGGAGGACCGAACCGACUAAUGUUGAAAAAUUAGCGGAUGACCUGUGGCUGGGGGUGAAAGGCCAAUCAAACCGGGAGAUAGCUGGUUCUCCCCGAAAGCUAUUUAGGUAGCGCCUCGUGAAUUCAUCUCCGGGGGUAGAGCACUGUUUCGGCUAGGGGGCCAUCCCGGCUUACCAACCCGAUGCAAACUGCGAAUACCGGAGAAUGUUAUCACGGGAGACACACGGCGGGUGCUAACGUCCGUCGUGAAGAGGGAAACAACCCAGACCGCCAGCUAAGGUCCCAAAGUCAUGGUUAAGUGGGAAACGAUGUGGGAAGGCCCAGACAGCCAGGAUGUUGGCUUAGAAGCAGCCAUCAUUUAAAGAAAGCGUAAUAGCUCACUGGUCGAGUCGGCCUGCGCGGAAGAUGUAACGGGGCUAAACCAUGCACCGAAGCUGCGGCAGCGAACGUAUCACCCAAGACAACUUUACGGAGUUGACGAUUGACGGAGCGAAGCGACGUCAAAGCGUUCAUUAAAGUCGAGUUGGCUUAGGGAUACGUUCGUUGGGUAGGGGAGCGUUCUGUAAGCCUGUGAAGGUGUGUCGUGAGGCAUGCUGGAGGUAUCAGAAGUGCGAAUGCUGACAUAAGUAACGAUAAAGCGGGUGAAAAGCCCGCUCGCCGGAAGACCAAGGGUUCCUGUCCAACGUUAAUCGGGGCAGGGUGAGUCGACCCCUAAGGCGAGGCCGAAAGGCGUAGUCGAUGGGAAACGGGUUAAUAUUCCCGUACUUGGUGUUACUGCGAAGGGGGGACGGAGAAGGCUAUGUUGGCCGGGCGACGGUUGUCCCGGUUUAAGCGUGUAGGUGUGUGUUCCAGGUAAAUCCGGUUCACUUUAACACUGAGGCGUGACGACGAGGCACUACGGUGCUGAAGCAACAAAUGCCCUGCUUCCAGGAAAAGCCUCUAAGCAUCAGGUAACAUCAAAUCGUACCCCAAACCGACACAGGUGGUCAGGUAGAGAAUACCAAGGCGCUUGAGAGAACUCGGGUGAAGGAACUAGGCAAAAUGGUGCCGUAACUUCGGGAGAAGGCACGCUGACACGUAGGUGAAGUGAUUUACUCAUGGAGCUGAAGUCAGUCGAAGAUACCAGCUGGCUGCAACUGUUUAUUAAAAACACAGCACUGUGCAAACACGAAAGUGGACGUAUACGGUGUGACGCCUGCCCGGUGCCGGAAGGUUAAUUGAUGGGGUCAGCGCAAGCGAAGCUCCUGAUCGAAGCCCCGGUAAACGGCGGCCGUAACUAUAACGGUCCUAAGGUAGCGAAAUUCCUUGUCGGGUAAGUUCCGACCUGCACGAAUGGCGUAAUGAUGGCCAGGCUGUCUCCACCCGAGACUCAGUGAAAUUGAACUCGCUGUGAAGAUGCAGUGUACCCGCGGCAAGACGGAAAGACCCCGUGAACCUUUACUAUAGCUUGACACUGAACAUUGAGCCUUGAUGUGUAGGAUAGGUGGGAGGCUUUGAAGUGUGGACGCCAGUCUGCAUGGAGCCGACCUUGAAAUACCACCCUUUAAUGUUUGAUGUUCUAACGUGGACCCGUAAUCCGGGUUGCGGACAGUGUCUGGUGGGUAGUUUGACUGGGGCGGUCUCCUCCUAAAGAGUAACGGAGGAGCACGAAGGUUGGCUAAUCCUGGUCGGACAUCAGGAGGUUAGUGCAAUGGCAUAAGCCAGCUUGACUGCGAGCGUGACGGCGCGAGCAGGUGCGAAAGCAGGUCAUAGUGAUCCGGUGGUUCUGAAUGGAAGGGCCAUCGCUCAACGGAUAAAAGGUACUCCGGGGAUAACAGGCUGAUACCGCCCAAGAGUUCAUAUCGACGGCGGUGUUUGGCACCUCGAUGUCGGCUCAUCACAUCCUGGGGCUGAAGUAGGUCCCAAGGGUAUGGCUGUUCGCCAUUUAAAGUGGUACGCGAGCUGGGUUUAGAACGUCGUGAGACAGUUCGGUCCCUAUCUGCCGUGGGCGCUGGAGAACUGAGGGGGGCUGCUCCUAGUACGAGAGGACCGGAGUGGACGCAUCACUGGUGUUCGGGUUGUCAUGCCAAUGGCACUGCCCGGUAGCUAAAUGCGGAAGAGAUAAGUGCUGAAAGCAUCUAAGCACGAAACUUGCCCCGAGAUGAGUUCUCCCUGAGACUUAGAGUCUCCUGAAGGAACGUUGAAGACGACGACGUUGAUAGGCCGGGUGUGUAAGCGCAGCGAUGCGUUGAGCUAACCGGUACUAAUGAACCGUGAGGCUUAACCUUACA
This 2553-nucleotide ribosomal RNA is filed under the name Salmonella enterica subsp. enterica serovar Typhimurium. RNAcentral describes it as "partial 23S ribosomal RNA". It matches the Rfam family "Bacterial large subunit ribosomal RNA". Lineage: Bacteria; Pseudomonadati; Pseudomonadota; Gammaproteobacteria; Enterobacterales; Enterobacteriaceae. The record is from RNAcentral.